AUGACGAAUGAUGUCAAUCUUAUGUACCAAAAGUACAUUGCCGAGUUGGACACGAUUACGCCUGAGCAGGUGGAAUGGCAGCCAUAUGGUGCGGGUGAGAGCUUGGGAUACACCGAGGAGUUCCGCCUCAACCCGAUGUGCUUGUGGGAUAAGGAUCUCUGGCUUAUGCGGUGCCCACUGAUAUGCAACUGGGUGGUUGAGUUUCAUUUGCCGCAUCGCGUGUAUCGUCAGUUUGGUCUGUUCCAGCCUCACCCGCCGGACUGGGUGGACACGGACAAAGCACUUCAUAGGUUGGACAGGAGAAGGCAGCGGAAGAUAAAGGACUGGGACAAGCAUCAUGCUUCGUAUGUUAUCCGCUUCCAGCUUUCUGUGGAGCAAGCUCGUAGCACUGCAUGCGCCCCGCUUCGUGAGCACAGCCAACAAGAUUUUGAUAACUACGUACGAUGGUUUAUUGGAAUUACUCGAGUUGAGAUAUUGCCGCCGGCAUAUAAUGAGGAUAUUCUUAAAGAAUCCGUAAACUUUGAGGAUCUAGCAAAGGGGAAGUACAACAGAGAUGUCAGGAAAGGGCAAGGAGUCCCUGUUGUUCCGGUGAUUAACUAUGUGCGCACCGAGAUCAAGAAAGCAGCUGAUGAGAGCCAGUCUAUUCUGGAGAAGACACCGGUUGGAACUGGCAAUGAUGAUGGUUCACUACGAGCAUUCCUCAAGCGUCAGGCCAAGAAGUUAAGGCGGUUAUCGAACCUUCUCGGUUGUCAUGAUCCUGAAUAUGAUGAACCAUCUGCCUCUAGGUCUGGUACACCAUCAGACCCCGCAUCUCACCAUGAGGGGGACGAUGUGAGUUCCUCAUAUGCUUAUAUGGAUGAUGAGGGUGCGCUCACCCAAGAGGGCCAUGAGCUUGAUGAUGACAUGAUUUUGGCGGACGCUCAAGCUCGGUCCGCAUAUGUGUUCAAGCCUAGACAGCCCAGACGCCGGUACACGCCCAACGACUAUGACAACAGAGGCAACCCAAAGGUGGUCGCAGGGACCUCGCGGAUGGCUAGCUUGGAUGAUGAGGCGGAGGAGGAGGCGGAGGCGCAGGCGCAGGCGGAGGAGGAAGUGCACCAAGAGGAGGCUCGUGCUCCUAAGAAGAAGAAGAUUGCCUGCAGGCGUGGCAUCAGGAACACGCGCGGAAGGCAUUAG
Molecule: ribosomal RNA, 1176 nt
Filed under: Triticum aestivum (bread wheat)
Lineage: Eukaryota; Viridiplantae; Streptophyta; Magnoliopsida; Poales; Poaceae
Description: partial small subunit ribosomal RNA
Source: RNAcentral